This 946-nucleotide unclassified non-coding RNA is filed under the name Hevea brasiliensis (rubber tree). Lineage: Eukaryota; Viridiplantae; Streptophyta; Magnoliopsida; Malpighiales; Euphorbiaceae. The record is from RNAcentral.
AUAGAGUGAUUUUCAAAUUUGGGAUCUUGAUUCUAAAGCAUGAAACAUUAUAUAUAUAUAUAUAUUGCAUGAAACUUAUAAAUGAUUUCGGUCUGACUGACAUAAAUAAAAUUUAAAGAAAAAAGGGGAAAACAAGAAUAAGAGCUAACUACUUCUAGCUACCUCUCUUUUUUUUUUGGGUCUAUUAUUCUAUUAUUUCCUUUUGGUAAUUGGACUUUCAAAACAAUCUCAAAACAAUCUCAGUCUUGUACUAAUUGACUAUUUAACUGUGCAAUUGGAACCUUCUGUUGGAUUCCAUUGGUGAAAAAUGGAUAUAAAACACGUUUGAUUAUCUGGCGUUAUUGAAAGUCUGAUAAAAUUUCCCAACGAGGACUGAAAUUUGAUUGGAAGUAAUUGGAAUUCAACAUAGCCCUUAAUUAAAUGAUAAGACAGUGCAGUUGUACUUGAUGCUGUUGGACAGGGGAUAGGACAGAUCUUAGCCUUGAAUUUUAUCAAGUAUACUAUUAUUGAAGUUUUAGACAUUGUUGAACAAGUGCUUUUUUGGUCUUGUAACAUAUAGAAUUAUGUUCUGGUUAUGCCCAUCCUUUUCAAGCUCCUGCUUUCUUCUUCUCCCUGCCCUCUUUCUCUCUCAUCCCCCCCACCCCCUCCCCUCCCCCCUCCACAAGCUUGUAUACUUCUGCUGAAUGAUGUUCUUAUUAUCACGUCACUUGUUUUUAUAGUAUGUUGGCCACAGUUAUGAAUGCUAUAUUUCUUCAAGCAACUAUGGAGAGUAUUGGCAUUCCAACCAGGGUUCAGACUGCAUUUCGCAUGUCAGAGGUUGCAGAACCAUAUAUUCGUCGACGGGCUGUCAGGCAUUUGGAAAAAGGAAGAGUUGUGAUUUUUGCAGCUGGAACUGGGAAUCCAUUCUUCACCACAGAUACAGCUGCAGCCCUGCGUUGUGCAGAAA